RNAcentral lists this long non-coding RNA (1595 nucleotides) under Hordeum vulgare. RNAcentral's name for it is "long non-coding RNA (HVUL_LNC014069)". Lineage: Eukaryota; Viridiplantae; Streptophyta; Magnoliopsida; Poales; Poaceae. The record is from RNAcentral.
GAGCCUCAAACCACCGUCCAUGUUACAUAGUUACAAUCACUACAAUAACAAGAAGAACCCCACUCCACACACUAUUCUAAGGUGGACUACUUGCGCCUCACCCACCCUAACAACAUCUCGAACAAGGUAUCGAGUUCCCCUCUUAACAGUUGCGCCUACUGCCACGCCCUGCCCUCAACCACUAUCCUCGAGAUCACCACAUCCAAUAAUGUGGAGGUGACAUCGAAGACCACCGCAUUCCUGUGCUUCCACAACUCCCAAAACACAAGAGUGAAGAUUGGCCGCGGCUCCUUGGGUUUCCUAGCAUCUUCCCUUCUCGACACACACCAUCCCUUCAAUGUAUCUUGUGUCGUGGGCGUCUAUUCCUGCUUGCCCACGGCCGUGCAAAGCACUCCCCAUACCGUUCUGGCAAACACACAUGUAAGAAAUAUGUGCUCAAUAGUCUCCACUUCCUGAUCUCAGAAAGGGCAUGUGUCUUGAUGAGGGAGUCCGCGCCAAAGCGAGGCGAUCCGAAGUCCAACACCUAUUCCUCAACGCCAGCCAGGUGAAGAAAUAACAUUGCAAUGGGGCUCUAGAUUUCCACGUGAAAUCAGUUAUUGGCGCCACCUCCCUUCCGGUGAACUUUGUUGCGUAUGCCGAGCGGACCAAAAUUUUUCCACCCACUUUCCAAGACCAUGCGAUGGAAUCCACGGUAUCUUCCAACUGAACCUGCCGCAACCUUUGCCACAAGUCUAAAUACUCCAAGAGCGCGUCGAAAGCCAUGUUAGGUGUAACAUCUUGUACCUAGCUGCCUAGAGUGACUGCAUAGUGAGGCCCUGUUUGUUUACAAAGUCAUAUGACUUUUUUAGUCCAAACUAAAAAGUCCCUAGUCCCUACCUGUUUGGUUUCAGGGACUAAACAUGGACUAGAGCUUAUUAAAUGACAUGCUAAAAAACCAUGUUACCUCUAUUAAUGGACUAGAGGUUAUUAAAUGACAUACUAAAAGCAGGGGCACUGUUGGAAAAAGUCUCAAAAAGACUCUCCCUUAGAGCAUCUCCAACAGCCUUUGUAUAUUUGCACUCACUUGUUAUUUUACAAAUCUUGGCCAAGAAACCUUCUCCAAUAGCCUUUGUAUAAGUGGUCCCUCACCAAUUUUUUUUACAAAGCCUGCUAUAUUUGCACCCACACUUUGCAUAUUUGCCAAGCCAAAGACCACUUUGUAAAUUUUUAGCAAGCCUCCUAAUGCCUUACUUUGUCUCCAUGACAGGUGGGUCCGUGUACUAGUAUGUGUGAUGCAUGUGUACAUGUGUGUACGGUGUGUGUGCUGCAUGUUUACGUAUGUGUGCUGCAUGUGUAUGUGUUUUUUGUGUACAUGUACGUGUGUGUGCUGCAUGUGUACGUGUUUUUUGUGUACGUGUACGUGUGUGUUGCAUCUGUACGUGUGUGUUGCAUGUGUAAGUGUACGUGUGUGUGCAUGUGUACGUGGACGUGAGUUGUGAUAGUAUACAUAUACAUGUACGUAUGCUAGUGUGCAAUGUGUCUAUGACAAACUGCCCCCACAUAUCAUUGUAUGUUUUGUGCAAAUAUAGCAAUCCAAUAUACAAAGGCUACCGAAG